This 465-nucleotide ribosomal RNA is filed under the name Vreelandella stevensii. RNAcentral describes it as "partial 16S ribosomal RNA". It matches the Rfam family "Bacterial small subunit ribosomal RNA", at positions 338 to 795 of the family's 1533-position model. Lineage: Bacteria; Pseudomonadati; Pseudomonadota; Gammaproteobacteria; Oceanospirillales; Halomonadaceae. The record is from RNAcentral.
CCUACGGGCGGCAGCAGUGGGGAAUAUUGGACAAUGGGGGGAACCCUGAUCCAGCCAUGCCGCGUGUGUGAAGAAGGACCUCGGGUUGUAAAGCACUUUCAGUGAGGAAGAACGCCUGGUGGUUAAUACCCAUCAGGAAAGACAUCACUCACAGAAGAAGCACCGGCUAACUCCGUGCCAGCAGCCGCGGUAAUACGGAGGGUGCGAGCGUUAAUCGGAAUUACUGGGCGUAAAGCGCGCGUAGGUGGCUUGAUAAGCCGGUUGUGAAAGCCCCGGGCUCAACCUGGGAACGGCAUCCGGAACUGUCAAGCUAGAGUGCAGGAGAGGAAGGUAGAAUUCCCGGUGUAGCGGUGAAAUGCGUAGAGAUCGGGAGGAAUACCAGUGGCGAAGGCGGCCUUCUGGACUGACACUGACACUGAGGUGCGAAAGCGUGGGUAGCAAACAGGAUUAGAUACCCUGGUAGUC